RNAcentral lists this non-coding RNA (99 nucleotides) under Leptotrichia buccalis. RNAcentral's name for it is "SAM-I sequence". It matches the Rfam family "SAM riboswitch aptamer (S box leader)". Rfam says of the family: The SAM riboswitch is found upstream of a number of genes which code for proteins involved in methionine or cysteine biosynthesis in Gram-positive bacteria. Lineage: Bacteria; Fusobacteriati; Fusobacteriota; Fusobacteriia; Fusobacteriales; Leptotrichiaceae. RNAcentral also lists the same sequence under 1 other name. The record is from RNAcentral.
AACUUAUCAAGAGUGAUACUAGGGACCGGCCCGUUUUGAGUAUCCAGCAACCUGUAUUAACAAGGUGCUAAUUCCGGCAUGUGAAUGCGAAGAUAAGAA